This 246-nucleotide ribosomal RNA is filed under the name uncultured Ehrlichia sp. Its description in RNAcentral is "partial 16S ribosomal RNA". It matches the Rfam family "Bacterial small subunit ribosomal RNA", at positions 216 to 461 of the family's 1533-position model. Lineage: Bacteria; Pseudomonadati; Pseudomonadota; Alphaproteobacteria; Rickettsiales; Anaplasmataceae. The record is from RNAcentral.
GGCUAUUAGAUGAGCCUACGUUAGAUUAGCUAGUUGGUAAGGUAAUGGCUUACCAAGGCUAUGAUCUAUAGCUGGUCUGAGAGGACGAUCAGCCACACUGGAACUGAGAUACGGUCCAGACUCCUACGGGAGGCAGCAGUGGGGAAUAUUGGACAAUGGGCGAAAGCCUGAUCCAGCUAUGCCGCGUGAGUGAAGAAGGCCUUCGGGUUGUAAAACUCUUUCAAUAGGGAAGAUAAUGACGGUACA